This 1011-nucleotide long non-coding RNA is filed under the name Canis lupus familiaris (dog). Its description in RNAcentral is "lncRNA (ENSCAFG00000056186.1)". The record is from RNAcentral. Lineage: Eukaryota; Metazoa; Chordata; Mammalia; Carnivora; Canidae.
AUGGGUCAGCCCGCGGCGGGCGGGCGGGGAGGGGCGGGGCGGGGAGGGCGCAGGGGGCGGGCGCAGGGGGCCGGGCCGCAGCUGCGGUGCACACGCCGGGUCGCCACUGCUGUCCCCUCCCCCGGCCCCGCCGCCGCCGCGACCCGCGCUCCCGGCCCGAGCAGCACAAAGCCCAGCGCGCCCCCUCCCGGGGCGCCCCCCCGCCGCCCCUCCCCGCCUCCCCCUCCCGGACACCCCGCCGCCCCCCCUCCUGCCGCUCCUCUCCCGGGACACCCCCCCCGCCGCCCCCCUCCCGGGGCACCCUCCCGGGGCGCCGCCCCCCCCGCCUCCCCCCUCCCGGGGCGCCGCCCCCCCCGCCUCCCCCCUCCCUGUGCACCGCCCCCCGCCUCCCCCUCCCGGUGCACCCCCCGCCUCCCCCCUCCCGGGGCGCCGCCCCCCCCCGCCUCCCCCUCCCGGGCACCCCCCGCCUGCCCCUCCCGGUGCACCGCCGCCCGCCUCCCCCCUCCCGGGGCCGCCCCCCCGCCUCCCCCCUCCCGGGGCGCGCUGCCCUUGACUCACGGUCGGGCGGCGGCGGGGGCUCCUCGGGCCGGGACGCUCCUCCCGGGGACCGCGGGGCCGCGCCGCUUCCUCCGCCCCCGCCCGCCGCCCCCCCCCGCCUUCCUCCCCGCCGCCCCCCGCCCCGCCGUCCCUCCGAGCCCCGGCCAGUCCCGACGCGGCGGCGGCCCGGCCCGGCCCCGGCCCCGGCCCGGCCCCGGCACAGCGCAGGGCGGGCGGCGCAUGCUCGGGCCGCGGCCGCCCCGCAGGACCCCGGGGUGUCGCCGCCCCCGCCCCCCCCCCCGCGGGAGCCCGGGCCGCGCCGAGCAGGGGCGGGGCGGGGCGGGGCGGGGCCGCACCGGGAGGGGCCUUCGCUCUAGGAGGACGUGCGUGCCUGGGGGGGGCGGGGGGGUCUGCGACCUCCUGCAGCCGCCGCCUGGGCCGGCCGGGACCCUCCGGAUUCAAAUAAUAAUUUGA